This 1077-nucleotide unclassified non-coding RNA is filed under the name Hevea brasiliensis (rubber tree). The record is from RNAcentral. Lineage: Eukaryota; Viridiplantae; Streptophyta; Magnoliopsida; Malpighiales; Euphorbiaceae.
GUGCAGACAACUUUUAUGGUACAGUGUCCACCAUUAGCUCUGUUGCUGGCCUUCUCCGCCAGAAUUCCAUGAACUCACGGAUUGAGAAUCAGAUGAACAAUCCUGGAAGUCCAUAUGCUGGGACUCCUGUUCAGAUCCCAUCUGCGGGCUCUUCAACCGCUCUGCCACAAGCUCAACCCAAUCCUCCUUCUCCCUUCUCAUGUCCAACGCCUUCAUCAUCUAAUAAUCCCCCUCAGAGUUCUCAUAAUGUGCUAACACCAUCAACUGCUGCAAACCAUGUAGUUUCAGCAAAUUCACCAACCCAACUACCAGUGCAACAAUCAUCUUCGGCCAAAUGAGCUCGAUCCAAAUGAGUCGCAGAGAUCUGUUGAGAAAAUCAUACAAGAGAUAAUGAUUUCUUCACAGUUUAGUGGGGGAGGUAGCAUGGUUAGUGUUGAUUCUGAAGGGAACAACAUGAAGAACAUGAAUGGGCUUGCAUUGAAAAAUCAAAAUGUCGUUACUAGUGGGAAGUGCCUCGUGGGCAAUGGUAUUGUAGACUCCAGUUCAAGUACUAUGGGUGGAGAGAUGAGGAGCUUGGGUCAUGGAAAUGGUCUGUCUUCCACCACUACUGGAAUCAAAGCUGCCAUGGGAAACAACUCGGGGACUUUGCUUGGAAGGACGGGCAUGCCAUUGUUGCAUCACGAUGCUGUUAUUAAUCAUCGGCAACAGGAAUUCACUAAUCAGUUAAUGGGAUUGGAGCUGUAAAUAGCUUUCUUGAUGACCAAUUUGACUGGAAAUCUGCCUAAAGAGGUUAGUUUUGCUGAUGUAUUCAUGACAAUUGCCUAUGGCCCUAUGCCUUCUGAUGGGAUAUUCUAUUGGUGAUACCAAGUGCAUCUGCUACAUGAUCGAGGAUUAAUUUGUGUCUAUUAAUUGGAGCUUAUACAGUUGCAGCGAUUUUUGUAGUUGGUACUAUUUCUAGAGGGAAGGAAAAUGUAUAGUUUUGUGUUGAGUUGGUCCACCCUCUCUUCUUAUCUUGAGUUUAUACUUGGGUUCUUUCUGCCGGUUUUGUAUGUAUGGUUUGCACAGCUUUGAAACGAG